This 1014-nucleotide long non-coding RNA is filed under the name Homo sapiens (human). RNAcentral's name for it is "non-protein coding lnc-MYO18A-4:1". Lineage: Eukaryota; Metazoa; Chordata; Mammalia; Primates; Hominidae. The record is from RNAcentral.
CUUCCUGGAGCCGCCGGCCGGGGCCGCUGGCUGCACUCAGCGCCGGAGCCGGGAGCUAGCGGCCGCCGCCAUGUCCCACCAGACCGGCAUCCAAGCAAGUGAAGAUGUUAAAGAGAUCUUUGCCAGAGCCAGAAAUGGAAAGUACAGACUUCUGAAAAUAUCUAUUGAAAAUGAGCAACUUGUGAUUGGAUCAUAUAGUCAGCCUUCAGAUUCCUGGGAUAAGGAUUAUGAUUCCUUUGUUUUACCCCUGUUGGAGGACAAACAACCAUGCUAUAUAUUAUUCAGGUUAGAUUCUCAGAAUGCCCAGGGAUAUGAAUGGAUAUUCAUUGCAUGGUCUCCAGAUCAUUCUCAUGUUCGUCAAAAAAUGUUGUAUGCAGCAACAAGAGCAACUCUGAAGAAGGAAUUUGGAGGUGGCCACAUUAAAGAUGAAAUAUUUGGAACAGUAAAGGAAGAUGUAUCAUUACAUGGAUAUAAAAAAUACUUGCUGUCACAAUCUUCCCCUGCCCCACUGACUGCAGCUGAGGAAGAAUUACGACAGAUUAAAAUCAAUGAGGUACAGACUGACGUGGGUGUGGACACUAAGCAUCAAACACUACAAGGAGUAGCAUUUCCCAUUUCUCGAGAAGCCUUUCAGGCUUUGGAAAAAUUGAAUAACAGACAGCUCAACUAUGUGCAGUUGGAAAUAGAUAUAAAAAAUGAAAUUAUAAUUUUGGCCAACACAACAAAUACAGAACUGAAAGAUUUGCCAAAGAGGAUUCCCAAGGAUUCAGCUCGUUACCAUUUCUUUCUGUAUAAACAUUCCCAUGAAGGAGACUAUUUAGAGUCCAUAGUUUUAUUUAUUCAAUGCCUGGAUACACAUGCAGUAUAAGAGAGCGGAUGCUGUAUUCUAGCUGCAAGAGCCCUCUGCUAGAAAUUGUAGAAAGACAACUACAAAUGGAUGUAAUUAGAAAGAUCGAGAUAGACAAUGGGGAUGAGUUGACUGCAGACUUCCUUUAUGAAGAAGUACAUCCCAAG